This 532-nucleotide long non-coding RNA is filed under the name Bos taurus (domestic cattle). RNAcentral's name for it is "long non-coding RNA NONBTAT026487". The record is from RNAcentral. Lineage: Eukaryota; Metazoa; Chordata; Mammalia; Artiodactyla; Bovidae.
CUGUUUUGUCCAUUUUGUCAGUCCUUUGGGUUAACUAGAUAUUGCUGAAUUAAUGCCAGAAACUGAUUUGAAAUUUGAUGACUCUGUGGAUUGGAUAGACAUCUCAUUUUAUUUAGCUCUUAGAAGUGCUAAAACCCCUCAUAAAGGAAAACUUUUAAGAACUACUAUAUAAAGGUAUCCAGAUUCUGAUGAGCUUUAAAAAUUGUGAAAUUUAUCAAAUGUCUUCAUAUUUAAGCCAAAAAUGUUAGUUCAUGACAAAUAGAAAAGUCUUGUUCCCAGGAUUCUCUAGUGUAGAGUCUUUUGUUUAUAGCUUCCUGUGCCUUAAAGGUGAACUCUAUACUUUUCGUCAACAUUAGGCUUUUCCAAAUUCAAAAGUAAUCUAAAUGUUGUAAUUAAUUUUAUAAAAUGCCCAUGCUCUUGGAUAUCAGUAAGCAAAGGCAUUAUAUCGAACUAAUCAAUGAUAAUAGAGUACAUAAAGAAAACCUUCAGAUCUUAAGUUUCACUUAUAUAACUUGAUUUUUGGCCCAGCUAG